ACUCCUACGGGAGGCAGCAGUGGGGAAUAUUGCACAAUGGGCGCAAGCCUGAUGCAGCCAUGCCGCGUGUGUGAAGAAGGCCUUCGGGUUGUAAAGCACUUUCAGUCGUGAGGAGGUAUGUGUAGUUAANAGCGCAUUAUUUGACGUUAGCACAGAAGAAGCACCGGCUAACUCCGUGCCAGCAGCCGCGGUAAUACGGAGGGUGCGAGCGUUAAUCGGAAUUACUGGGCGUAAAGCGCAUGCAGGUGGUUUGUUAAGUCAGAUGUGAAAGCCCGGGGCUCAACCUGAGUAUUGAAUACUGGCAGACUAGAGUACUGUAGAGGGGGGUAGAAUUUCAGGUGUAGCGGUGAAAUGCGUAGAGAUCUGAAGGAAUACCGGUGGCGAAGGCGGCCCCCUGGACAGAUACUGACACUCAGAUGCGAAAGCGUGGGGAGCAAACAGGAUUAGAUACCCUGGUAGCUACGAGU
This 467-nucleotide ribosomal RNA is filed under the name uncultured bacterium. RNAcentral's name for it is "bacterial SSU rRNA". It matches the Rfam family "Bacterial small subunit ribosomal RNA", at positions 335 to 802 of the family's 1533-position model. The record is from RNAcentral.